Molecule: ribosomal RNA, 289 nt
Filed under: uncultured bacterium
Lineage: Bacteria
Description: partial 16S ribosomal RNA
Rfam family: Bacterial small subunit ribosomal RNA
Source: RNAcentral
CGCCUACGGGGGGCAGCAGUGGGGAAUAUUGGGCAAUGGGCGCAAGCCUGACCCAGCAACGCCGCGUGAAGGAAGAAGGCUUUCGGGUUGUAAACUUCUUUUGUCAGGGACGAAGCAAGUGACGGUACCUGACGAAUAAGCCACGGCUAACUACGUGCCAGCAGCCGCGGUAACACGUAGGUGGCAAGCGUUAUCCGGAUUUAUUGGGUGUAAAGGGCGUGUAGGCGGGAAUGCAAGUCAGAUGUGAAAACUAUGGGCUCAACCCAUAGCCUGCAGUUGAAACUGUAUU